CAUCUGAUGAGGAACAAAGAUCCGUCGCUUGCGGAUGGGGAUGCGUCUGAUUAGUUAGUCCGGCGGGGUUAACGGCCCACCGAGACGACGAUCAGUAGGGGUUCUGAGAGGAAAGUCCCCCACAUUGGAACUGAGACACGGUCCAAACUCCUACGGGAGGCAGCAGUGAGGAAUAUUGGUCAAUGGGCGAGAGCCUGAACCAGCCAAGUAGCGUGCAGGAUGACGGCCCUAUGGGUUGUAAACUGCUUUUAUAAGGGAAUAAAGUGAGCCUCGUGAGGCUUUUUGCAUGUACCUUAUGAAUAAGGACCGGCUAAUUCCGUG
This 321-nucleotide ribosomal RNA is filed under the name uncultured bacterium. Its description in RNAcentral is "bacterial SSU rRNA". It matches the Rfam family "Bacterial small subunit ribosomal RNA", at positions 188 to 507 of the family's 1533-position model. The record is from RNAcentral.